Molecule: ribosomal RNA, 1161 nt
Filed under: Triticum aestivum (bread wheat)
Lineage: Eukaryota; Viridiplantae; Streptophyta; Magnoliopsida; Poales; Poaceae
Description: partial small subunit ribosomal RNA
Source: RNAcentral
AUGGAGGUCGCCAUAAAGAGAAUGUCACAUGAUUCAAGGCAAGGAGUAAGGGAGUUCAUUGCUGAGGUGGUGAGCAUUGGUCACCUUCGACACCAAAAUAUCACGCAAUUGUUCGGCUACUGUAGGCGUAAGGGUGAACUUCUCCUGGGUUAUGACUAUAUGAAAAAUGGCAGCCUUGACAAGUACCUAAAAGAAUGGGAGCAUGUGGUCAUCCACCGAGAUAUAAAGCCAAGCAAUGUGCUCUUGGAUAGUCAGAUGAAUGGGCAGUUAGGUGAUUUUGCUCUUGCAAGGAUAUAUGACCAUGAAACAGCCACUCCAGACACCCAUGUGACUGGUACCAUUGGAUAUCUAGCACCAGAACUUGCGCGCAUGGGGAGGCCAACGCCCUUCACCGACGUAUACGCAUUUGGCAUGUUUCUCCUGGAGGUCACAUGUGGUCGUAAACCAAUCUUCACCGAUGAGCAAAAUAAUCAGUUAUUGUUGGUAGAGUGGGUGCUUGAGCACCAUCGGGGUGGCUCAAUCGUCGACACGGUAGAUCCACGUCUCCAAGCGAAAUUCAACAUGGAGGAGCGGGCGGCCGGCUUCCCACUAGCGCGAUCGAGCGACUGGCCGAAAAAGGUAACCCCUAGUCCCCCGCGCAACAAAAAAGGAAGGGGCCACCAUCCCGACCGAUCGGGCGGCCACCAAAAGAGACCAAUCGAGCAUCCACCAACAAAAUCGCCCCCCCACCCUCACAUGGCUAGCUGCCUUCUUCUUCUUCUGCACGCUAGAAGGAGGGACAUCCAACAGAAUCGCCCCCAGCCCUUCUUUCUCCUCCUACACAGUCGCCAUGGGAGCCCCAAACAAAAUCUGAAUAAGUUCCUUGCCAAUGGAAACCCUGCGGAUCAUUGCAACAAAAGCAGAGGAAAAAGUCUGUGUGAGUGUGUGGCAGCAUCAAAAAAAAGAAAAAAGAUGCUUGAUCUCAAUGAGUUGCCUCCUGAUCUCAAUGAGCUUCCUCAUGAUACGGAUCAGCAGCAACCCAACAUACCACAAGGAAACUGGACAGAAAAUGUUCGAUUUGUUUACUACACGCAGGCAAGUCAUGGUGGAAACCCUAUGGGCCAUGACAAUGUGGCAGGCCAGCCAUCAACCCGUGGUGCCCCUGUAGUGGUGUCUUUGUAG